UACGGAGGGAGCUAGCGUUGUUCGGAAUUACUGGGCGUAAAGCGCACGUAGGCGGCUUUGUAAGUUAGAGGUGAAAGCCCGGAGCUCAACUCCGGAAUUGCCUUUAAGACUGCAUCGCUUGAAUCCGGGAGAGGUGAGUGGAAUUCCGAGUGUAGAGGUGAAAUUCGUAGAUAUUGGGAAGAACACCAGUGGCGAAGGCGGCUCACUGGCCCGUAACUGACGCUGAGGUGCGAAAGCGUGGGGAGCAAACAGG
Molecule: ribosomal RNA, 253 nt
Filed under: uncultured bacterium
Lineage: Bacteria
Description: partial 16S ribosomal RNA
Rfam family: Bacterial small subunit ribosomal RNA
Source: RNAcentral